Molecule: transfer RNA, 77 nt
Filed under: Desulfotomaculum copahuensis
Lineage: Bacteria; Bacillati; Bacillota; Clostridia; Eubacteriales; Desulfotomaculaceae
Description: tRNA-Pro
Rfam family: tRNA (bases 4-69)
About the family: Transfer RNA (tRNA) molecules are approximately 80 nucleotides in length. Their secondary structure includes four short double-helical elements and three loops (D, anti-codon, and T loops). Further hydrogen bonds mediate the characteristic L-shaped molecular structure. tRNAs have two regions of fundamental functional importance: the anti-codon, which is responsible for specific mRNA codon recognition, and the 3' end, to which the tRNAs corresponding amino acid is attached (by aminoacyl-tRNA synthetases). tRNAs cope with the degeneracy of the genetic code in two manners: having more than one tRNA (with a specific anti-codon) for a particular amino acid; and 'wobble' base-pairing, i.e. permitting non-standard base-pairing at the 3rd anti-codon position.
Source: RNAcentral
GGGAUGUAGCUCAGUUUGGCUAGAGCGCACGGUUCGGGACCGUGAGGUCGCAGGUGCGAAUCCACGCAUAAUACCCG